Long non-coding RNA from Drosophila obscura, 131 nucleotides. RefSeq lists it as uncharacterized. The record is from RefSeq and is a predicted model, not a curated record. The transcript has 3 exons. NCBI's taxonomy places the organism in Eukaryota, Metazoa, Arthropoda, Insecta, Diptera, Drosophilidae.
GUUUGUUUUUGCUCGAGGAAACCCAUAUCAAAACAUUUCUGAAGUCAAAAUCAAAAUAUUAGUCCAGGAGUAAUUGUUUAAAAUGCCUCAAAGGAGCAUUGGUGCUUAUUAACCUGAUCGAGUCAGUUAAG